This 442-nucleotide ribosomal RNA is filed under the name uncultured bacterium. RNAcentral's name for it is "partial 16S ribosomal RNA". It matches the Rfam family "Bacterial small subunit ribosomal RNA", at positions 338 to 795 of the family's 1533-position model. The record is from RNAcentral.
UCUACGGGAGGCAGCAGUGGGGAAUAUUGGGCAAUGGGCGCAAGCCUGACCCAGCAACGCCGCGUGAAGGAAGAAGGCUUUCGGGUUGUAAACUUCUUUUAAGGGGGACGAACAAAUGACGGUACCCCUUGAAUAAGCCACGGCUAACUACGUGCCAGCAGCCGCGGUAAUACGUAGGUGGCAAGCGUUAUCCGGAUUGAUUGGGUGUAAAGGGCGGGUAGGCGGGGGCGCAAGGCAGAUGUGAAAACGCGGGGCUCAACCCUGAGCCUGCAUUUGAAACUGUGUUUCUUGAGUGCUGGAGAGGCAAUCGGAAUUCCGUGUGUAGCGGUGAAAUGCGUAGAUAUACGGAGGAACACCAGUGGCGAAGGCGGAUUGCUGGACAGUAACUGACGCUGAGGCGCGAAAGCGUGGGGAGCAAACAGGAUUAGAUACCCUUGUAGUC